UCCCCCUUGGCCUAAUGGCAGGGCAUCUGACUUUGACUCAGAAAGUCCACGUUCGAAUCGUGGAGGGGGAGCCA
RNAcentral lists this transfer RNA (74 nucleotides) under Gammaproteobacteria bacterium. Its description in RNAcentral is "tRNA-Gln". It matches the Rfam family "tRNA". From Rfam's summary of the family: Transfer RNA (tRNA) molecules are approximately 80 nucleotides in length. Their secondary structure includes four short double-helical elements and three loops (D, anti-codon, and T loops). Further hydrogen bonds mediate the characteristic L-shaped molecular structure. tRNAs have two regions of fundamental functional importance: the anti-codon, which is responsible for specific mRNA codon recognition, and the 3' end, to which the tRNAs corresponding amino acid is attached (by aminoacyl-tRNA synthetases). tRNAs cope with the degeneracy of the genetic code in two manners: having more than one tRNA (with a specific anti-codon) for a particular amino acid; and 'wobble' base-pairing, i.e. permitting non-standard base-pairing at the 3rd anti-codon position. The record is from RNAcentral. Lineage: Bacteria; Pseudomonadati; Pseudomonadota; Gammaproteobacteria.